Molecule: ribosomal RNA, 484 nt
Filed under: uncultured bacterium
Lineage: Bacteria
Description: partial 16S ribosomal RNA
Rfam family: Bacterial small subunit ribosomal RNA
Source: RNAcentral
AUUGAACGCUGGCGGCAGGCCUAACACAUGCAAGUCGAGCGGAUGAAGGGAGCUUGCUCCUGGAUUCAGCGGCGGACGGGUGAGUAAUGCCUAGGAAUCUGCCUGGUAGUGGGGGAUAACGUCCGGAAACGGGCGCUGAUACCGCAUACGUCCUGAGGGAGAAAGUGGGGGAUCUUCGGACCUCACGCUAUCAGAUGAGCCUAGGUCGGAUUAGCUAGUUGGUGGGGUAAAGGCCUACCAAGGCGACGAUCCGUAACUGGUCUGAGAGGAUGAUCAGUCACACUGAAACUGAGACACGGUCCAGACUCCUACGGGAGGCAGCAGUGGGGAAUAUUGGACAAUGGGCGAAAGCCUGAUCCAGCCAUGCCGCGUGUGUGAAGAAGGUCUUCGGAUUGUAAAGCACUUUAAGUUGGGAGGAAGGGCAGUAAGUUAAUACCUUGCUGUUUUGACGUUACCAACAGAAUAAGCACCGGCUAACUUCGUG